GGGACCUUGGGCGUCCAUUAGUGGCAGGUAUGGAUCAGAAGAACCCAAACCUCCUGACCUCCAGUCUAACGUCCACACAACGAAGAUGCCAAAAUUGACAUAGGUGGGUGCCGAGUGCUGCUGUGGAUCCUUGGAAAAAGGAGGUGAACCGUGAAGAAGCACAACUGCAGGAAGAGCGGUCUCGCUGGUGGAGGAGGCAUGGCAGUAGGUUCUCCAGAGUCCACAGGGUCAUCCAUUCUGGCCGGAUAUCUCUGGUUGGAGGAGUAAAGGCUUUGCACUGGCAUGGAUCAAAAGGGCUGCACACGGAGACCAUUCUGCCCACA
This is a long non-coding RNA of Lepus europaeus (European hare), 323 nucleotides long. RefSeq lists it as uncharacterized. Lineage: Eukaryota; Metazoa; Chordata; Mammalia; Lagomorpha; Leporidae. The record is from RefSeq and is a predicted model, not a curated record. The transcript has 3 exons.